Armillaria borealis is the source of this 100-nucleotide non-coding RNA. The record is from the annotation of a GenBank genome assembly. Lineage: Eukaryota; Fungi; Basidiomycota; Agaricomycetes; Agaricales; Physalacriaceae.
GGGUCGGUCGCGUAGCUGGUUAUUGCAUCUGUCUAACAUAGUUAUGAUAAUGUUGUACCGUUUACAGAGAAGGUCCUCAGUUCGAACCUGGGCCGACUCA